GACUCGAGUGGUUUCUUAAAAACGCAUCAUCAUCAUAUUCACUUUAAAAGUUGAAGAAGACAUUAUACUAUCGUAGAUGCCUAAAUGAAUUCGAUCAGUCGUACACAAAAAAAUGUCUUGUGUCGAUGAUUAUUAAAUGUUAAGUAUUUUACAACAUUUUAUAUAAUUAUAAAUUGUUUACCAUUAAAUACAUCUAAAAUAUCGAUCAUGGAUCCUAACAAUUCAAAAACCGUACCAAGAGAAAACACUCCACCACCGCCGUACGACGAAGGUCCAGGAAUUUAUCCAGCAGGUUUUGUUUACUCUAAUGAUUACACAACGCAACAUCAAAAUUUUGCACCCGAGUGUAUAAUAGAAUCAACUUUGGGUCCAAUGCCAGUUCAUAUGUUUUGUCCGACGUGCCAUAAUUAUAUAAUUACCGAAACCGAUGAAUCGCCGUCAAACGAAGCGUAUUUAUGUUGCAUGCUAAUAUUUAUCGUAGGGUGUACUUUAUGUUCGUGUCUACCGUUCUUCAUGAAAUCUUUUCAAAAAGUUGACCACAAAUGUCCGCAGUGUACGUCUUACAUAGGAACGUAUAAACCAUAAACAUUACGAUACACGCCACUUUAUGUAUAAAUUAUGCUUGCAUACAAUUAUUUAAAACGUGAUCCACAGUCAUUCAAAACGCAAUUGAUGCCGUGAAUUGUUAAUUGAAUAAAAUUCAACUUCCUAUACUGCCUGAAGUUCCGUCGACGAAUGGACUCUUCAACAAGUCACCAAUCAUAUAUCCCUAUUGCAUUUCACUUAAAUUUUUGUGAAUCCAAUAUAGAUUGCGUAAUAUAAUAAUAAAUGUUUAAGAAAAAAUAUUUUAUGGUAUAAUAUUAGAGUUUUAGCACACUGAAGACUUUCUUCCUUUUAAUUCGUAUUUUUAUUUUUGAAUUUUAUUAAAAUAUUGUAGUUAAUUUCUUGUACUAUUUUUUCGAAAAAGAAGUGUUAAAAAAAUACAUAAUCAAAUUUAAAAGAACAUUUAUAAUGUUACUGAAAAAAAAAAAAUUGAAAA
RNA transcript from Aphis gossypii (cotton aphid), 1039 nucleotides. It is a transcript of the gene named lipopolysaccharide-induced tumor necrosis factor-alpha factor homolog, with no coding region annotated. The record is from RefSeq and is a predicted model, not a curated record. Lineage: Eukaryota; Metazoa; Arthropoda; Insecta; Hemiptera; Aphididae. The transcript is spliced from 4 exons.